GGCGAAUUCCAAGCUUCGCGGCCUAUCAGCUUGUUGGCGGGGUAACGGCCCACCAAGGCGGUGACGGGUAGCUGGUCUGAGAGGAUGGCCAGCCACAUUGGGACUGAGAGACGGCCCAGACUCCUACGGGAGGCAGCAGUGGGGAAUCUUGCGCAAUGGCCGCAAGGCUGACGCAGCGACGCCGCGUGGGGGAGGAAGGGCUUCGGCUCGUAAACCCCUGUUGCCCGGGGCGAACAUCCCUUUUCGAGGGGACUGACGGUACCGGGUGAGGAAGCACCGGCUAACUCCGUGCCAGCAGCCGCGGUAAUACGGAGGGUGCGAGCGUUGUCCGGAAUCACUGGGCGUAAAGGGCGCGUAGGUGGCCGAGCAAGGUCGCGGUGAAAGCCUGGGGCUCAACCCCGGGUCGGCCGUGGCAACUACUUGGCUUGAGCACUGUAGGGGCGGGUGGAAUUCCGGGUGUAGCGGUGGAAUGCGUAGAGAUCCGGAAGAACACCGGUGGCGAAGGCGGCCCGCUGGGCAGGAAGGCUCGAAAGAGCCGGCUGACACUGAGGCGCGACAGCGUGGGGAGCAAACAGGAUUAGAUACCCUGGUAGUCCACGCCGUAAACGAUGGGCACUAGGUGCUUGGGGGAGCGACCCUCCGAGUGCCGGCGCUAACGCAU
RNAcentral lists this ribosomal RNA (661 nucleotides) under uncultured Gemmatimonas sp. Its description in RNAcentral is "bacterial SSU rRNA". It matches the Rfam family "Bacterial small subunit ribosomal RNA", at positions 216 to 860 of the family's 1533-position model. Lineage: Bacteria; Pseudomonadati; Gemmatimonadota; Gemmatimonadia; Gemmatimonadales; Gemmatimonadaceae. The record is from RNAcentral.